Molecule: ribosomal RNA, 449 nt
Filed under: uncultured bacterium
Lineage: Bacteria
Description: bacterial SSU rRNA
Rfam family: Bacterial small subunit ribosomal RNA
Source: RNAcentral
GAUGAACGCUGGCGGCGUGCUUAACACAUGCAAGUCGAACGGGAAUUACUUUAUUGAAACUUCGGUCGAUUUAAUUUAAUUCUAGUGGCGGACGGGUGAGUAACGCGUGGGUAACCUGCCUUAUACAGGGGGAUAACAGUCAGAAAUGGCUGCUAAUACCGCAUAAGCGCACAGAGCUGCAUGGCUCAGUGUGAAAAACUCCGGUGGUAUAAGAUGGACCCGCGUUGGAUUAGCUAGUUGGUGGGGUAACGGCCCACCAAGGCGACGAUCCAUAGCCGGCCUGAGAGGGUGAACGGCCACAUUGGGACUGAGACACGGCCCAGACUCCUACGGGAGGCAGCAGUGGGGAAUAUUGCACAAUGGGGGAAACCCUGAUGCAGCGACGCCGCGUGAAGGAAGAAGUAUCUCGGUAUGUAAACUUCUAUCAGCAGGGAAGAUAGUGACGGUAC